Gambusia affinis (western mosquitofish) is the source of this 1070-nucleotide long non-coding RNA. RefSeq lists it as uncharacterized. The record is from RefSeq and is a predicted model, not a curated record. NCBI's taxonomy places the organism in Eukaryota, Metazoa, Chordata, Actinopteri, Cyprinodontiformes, Poeciliidae. The transcript has 4 exons.
UUGAGACAAGGCAUCCAGCAUGGACCAAAAGUGGCUGACCUGCUGUAAAACAUCUUCCCUUCCGCCGUUGCUGGACAUCAUACGAAGGUCAUACAUCCAGUCCAAGAAUUCAGCCACUCUGCUGUAAACCCCAGGAUGGUUCGGCUCAGCGCAGCCCGUUCCCCAACUCACGACUCCUGCAAGCCUCCACAAAUUUUCAUCCUGGCAAACAAGAGGGCCCCCGCUGUCCCCCUGAUAAGCAGGACUUCCCAGCUGCCCUCACUGUCAAAGCACUGAUACUGGCUUUAAUGAUGACGGUGGUGCCAUUCUGCUUGAAUGACCAGCAAACUGAUCUGAACCUCAUAGAGAAACUUUGGAGUAUGAACAAGAGGCAGAUGAGAGACACCGGACCCAACACUGCUUUGGACUCGAGGGCAAAGCUACCUGGGCUUCCCUAACAGAACCACAGGCUUAUCGACUCCGUACCACGCUGCACUGAUGAAGUGGCUCACCUGCUUCCUGCCCAGCGGGAUUCCUCAACUCAUCAGGCAGCUGCUCUCGGUGAGUGAUUUAAUAUUUAAGACUAAAAAAAAAUUUAAAAUUAAUUAAUCCAAACAGCAGAUCAGAAAACACGGGCGGGGGAGAAGUAAAAAAGUUUGUGUAGUUAUGCCAGAAGAAGCUCCUCAGGGAAAACGCAUUGAUUCAGUAUGAGAACAGGUUUCUCCUUUACAGACAGAAGCAACAUAUCUGUACCUCGUAGUUUAUACGUUAUGAAGCACAGACCGAGUUCAUGCCAAAGCUCAAAAACACCUUCCCUCACUACAGCCGGCGAUUAUAUAGCGCUGUGACCAGAGAUGGACAGUUUUUAUACACUACACUUGUUAUAAUGACCACACUCCAUGUGCUUUUUCGUCUAAUAUUACACCAAAUAAAAAAAAUUAGGCUCCCUCACAACAAAGCUAUACAGGUUAUCAUACAAACUGAUGACGAGACAGUCUACUGACACACAGGUACAGUGCACGAGUUUGCAGGCAGGGAUGGGGAGGGGAGAGGAAUCAGUCGUUUUUGAAUAGUACAAAAUGCUUUUUUUU